RNAcentral lists this unclassified non-coding RNA (731 nucleotides) under Hevea brasiliensis (rubber tree). Lineage: Eukaryota; Viridiplantae; Streptophyta; Magnoliopsida; Malpighiales; Euphorbiaceae. The record is from RNAcentral.
ACCUGCUUGUCCUCAGCCAUUGGCCACCCUAAGAAAUAUGGAGAGAUACAAUUUCAACUUCUCUCUUUUUUCUCCCUUUAUUCUUCUCUUGACCCUUUUCACAUGCAAUCCAACUGCUACUUCUCAAAACUCGACUUCAGGAGAUGGUUUGUGUGGUUCUGUUUUCUGUGGGCUAGGGACAUGCAAGAGUAUUAGCACAUGGCCUGGUUUUGAGUGUGACUGCUAUUCUGGUUGGAACAAGAUUCAGAUUGGUCCAUUGACCUUUCCCUCUUGCCUAAUUCCCAAUUGCACAAUUGAUUUACAAUGUGGUAAUGGAUCUCCACCACCACCUCCUCCAUCAGUUCCUAGCCCUCCACCUUCACUAAAUUUAUCAAACCCUUGUAACUUAAUUUGGUGUGCCGAUGGAUCCUGCUUGCCUAAUGGAAGAGGACACACUUGCCAGUGCAAUGAAGGCUCAUCAAAUUUAGCCAAUAAUACAGAGUUACCCUGUUUUGAACAAUGCUACUUUGGAGCAGAUUGCAAUAGCCUUGGGUUUGGUCCCCCAGCUUCAUCGCCACCAACACCACCAUCAGGUUCUUCAGAAAUGUCAAAUUCCUUGAGAAGUGUUGGUGUUCUAACCAUGAUAUUAUUAGCAGCAACUUCCCUAGCAUUGUUUUAGAGAAAAAUACACCAAGAUCAUUGGAACAUCAACAAAGGAAUGCUCGUCAUAAAUUCUUUACUCACAAAAAUAG